Molecule: non-coding RNA, 50 nt
Organism: Nocardia pneumoniae NBRC 100136
Lineage: Bacteria; Bacillati; Actinomycetota; Actinomycetes; Mycobacteriales; Nocardiaceae
Source: Rfam
UCGGUUCCGGUUCACGCUCGUCGCGAGUUCGCGUGGGCGACCCGGCGGCC